GGUCUGGUGGUGUAGUUGGUCAUCACGUCAGUCUAACACACUGAAGGUCUCCGGUUCAAGUCCGGGCUAGAUCA
Molecule: transfer RNA, 74 nt
Filed under: Colletotrichum graminicola M1.001
Lineage: Eukaryota; Fungi; Ascomycota; Sordariomycetes; Glomerellales; Glomerellaceae
Description: tRNA-Val (AAC) (tRNA-Val-AAC-3-1)
Rfam family: tRNA
About the family: Transfer RNA (tRNA) molecules are approximately 80 nucleotides in length.
Source: RNAcentral